This 254-nucleotide ribosomal RNA is filed under the name uncultured bacterium. RNAcentral describes it as "partial 16S ribosomal RNA". It matches the Rfam family "Bacterial small subunit ribosomal RNA", at positions 524 to 776 of the family's 1533-position model. The record is from RNAcentral.
UACAGAGGGUGCGAGCGUUGUUCGGAAUUAUUGGGCGUAAAGGGCGCGUAGGCGGUGCGGUAAGUCUGUAGUGAAAUCUCUGGGCUCAACUCAGAGUCUGCUGCAGAAACUGCCGUGCUUGAGUGUGGGAGAGGUGAGUGGAAUUCCCGGUGUAGCGGUGAAAUGCGUAGAUAUCGGAAGGAACGCCGGUGGCGAAAGCGGCGUGCUGGACCCUUUCUGACGCUGAGGCGCGAAAGCCAGGGGGAGCGAACGGG